GGGCCUAUAGCUCAGCUGGUUAGAGCGCACGCCUGACAAGCGUGAGGUCGAUGGUUCGAGUCCAUUUAGGCCCA
RNAcentral lists this transfer RNA (74 nucleotides) under Listeria monocytogenes. RNAcentral's name for it is "tRNA-Val". It matches the Rfam family "tRNA". Rfam says of the family: Transfer RNA (tRNA) molecules are approximately 80 nucleotides in length. Lineage: Bacteria; Bacillati; Bacillota; Bacilli; Caryophanales; Listeriaceae. The record is from RNAcentral.